AUUGAACGCUGGCGGCAGGCCUAACACAUGCAAGUCGAGCGGAGCGUCUGACGGAUGAGUAAGGCCUAUUAAUCUGCCUCCUCGUGAGGGAUAACGUCCGGCAACGGGCGCUCCUCCCGCAUACUAUCAGAUGAGCCUAGGUCGGAUUCGCUAGUUGGUGGGGUAAAGGACUACAAAGGCGACGAUCCGUAACUUGUCUGAGAGGAUGAUCAGUCACACUGGAACUUAGACACGGUCCAGACUCCUACGGGAGGCAGCAGUGGGGAAUAUUGGACAAGGGGCGAAAGCCUGAGCCAGCCAGGAGGCGUGUGUGAAGAAGGUCUUCGGAUUGUAAAGCACUUUAAGUUGGGAGGCGUUACCAACAGAAUAAGCACCGGCUAACUUCGUGCCAGCAGCCGCGGUAAUUC
Molecule: ribosomal RNA, 407 nt
Filed under: uncultured bacterium
Lineage: Bacteria
Description: partial 16S ribosomal RNA
Rfam family: Bacterial small subunit ribosomal RNA
Source: RNAcentral